This 326-nucleotide ribosomal RNA is filed under the name uncultured bacterium. Its description in RNAcentral is "bacterial SSU rRNA". It matches the Rfam family "Bacterial small subunit ribosomal RNA", at positions 469 to 793 of the family's 1533-position model. The record is from RNAcentral.
CUGAAGGUACCUUACGAAUAAGGAUCGGCUAACUCCCGUGCCAGCAGCCGCGGUAAUACGGAGGAUCCAAGCGUUAUCCGGAUUUAUUGGGUUUAAAGGGUCCGCAGGCGGGUUAUUAAGUCAGUGGUGAAAUCCUGCAGCUUAACUGUAGAACUGCCAUUGAUACUGGUAAUCUUGAGUGUAGUUGAGGUGGGCGGAAUGUGUCAUGUAGCGGUGAAAUGCAUAGAUAUGACACAGAACACCGAUUGCGAAGGCAGCUCACUAAGCUAUUACUGACGCUCAUGGACGAAAGCGUGGGGAGCGAACAGGAUUAGAUACCCUGGUAG